Globicephala melas (long-finned pilot whale) is the source of this 1721-nucleotide RNA transcript. It is a transcript of the gene named chromosome 5 C4orf33 homolog, with no coding region annotated. The record is from RefSeq and is a predicted model, not a curated record. Lineage: Eukaryota; Metazoa; Chordata; Mammalia; Artiodactyla; Delphinidae.
ACCUGGAUGACAGCCGGCUGAGCCACCUGUGUGGCGGCGGAUAAGCUGCUGGGCCCGUGUCCUAGGAUGGCUGGGCCCAGCGGGUUUUUUUGUUUUUUUCUUUUAUUCCUUUUUAAAAAAGAAAACCCCAAAAAUGUAAACAUAGGGCAUUAACUACAUAUUUUAAAUGCCCCCGUAUCUUUGCUACCUAACACUUCCGGACUGGGAGAACUCGCUGGCCAGAGCGGAUGGUUGGAAAGCACAGUCUUCAAAUGGAUUUUAAAAUUGAACACACUUGGGAUGGUUUUCCAGUGAAGCAUGAGCCAGUGUUUGUCAGGCUGAAUCCAGGUGAUAGAGGAGUGAUGAUGGAAGUCAGUGCUCCAUUUUUCAAUGAUCCUCCAGCCCCACUAGGAGAACCAGGAAAGCCUUUCAAUGAACUGUGGGAUUAUGAAGUUGUGGAAGCAUUUUUCUUGAAUGACAUAACUGAACAGUAUUUAGAAGUUGAACUUUGUCCCCAUGGACAGCAUUUGGUGCUUUUACUCUCUGGAAAAAGAAAUGUGUGGAAACAAGAACUUGAUCUAUCAUUCAAAGCGUCCAGAGGAGAGACAAAAUGGGAAGGUAGAGCUUAUCUUCCUUGGAGUUAUUUUCCACCAAAUGUGACAAAAUUCAAUUCAUUUGCAAUUCAUGGAUCAAAAGAUAAAAGAAGCUAUGAAGCUCUUUACCCUGUACUUCCACAUGAGCUGCAGCAAGGACAAAAACCUGAUUUCCAUCAUCUGGAAUACUUCAAGCCUUUCAGUUUUAACACACUGCUUGGAGAAGAGUGGAAACAACCAGAGUCAGACCUGUGGCUAAUAGAGAAACCUGAUGUGUAGGAGUAUAGUAGAUGACCACAUCAAUCAUUUCUUCUCUAUACCUUUUAAGGACUGAAAUUUUCAAAAGUAACUAAGAAAGAAAACAACUCCCAGCUGGAAAAGGAGAUGUGAGAAUUAUAUAAAGAUAUUGGUAACAGUUGGAAUAUAGAGUUACCACAACAUGGCGCAGUUUACCAGUGCUACAGAGCCCUGUGACUCUCAAGUUUGAUUCUGGGGUCCAAGGCUAACUGAUGAAAGUGAAUGAUCCUUUCUUUGAUGAUCCCCAGCACUACCAGGCGAAGCAGGACUGCCUUUUGAUGGAGCAUGAAGUUGUUGAAUCAUUUUUGUUUGAACAGCAAGACUAAACAGCACCUGGAGGUGGAACUCUGCCCGCACGGACAGCACCUGGUCCUACUGCUCUCCAACAGGGAUUCAUUUACAUAAGAGCCAAGUUCACAAUUUAAACUCAACACUACCUGGAACCAGUGGAGUGGGAUUAUAUUUCUUCCUUGGGAAUAUUUUCCACGUGGUAUUGAUAAAAUGAAUUCAUAUGCAAUUCAUGGAUCAGGGAUUAGAAGAAUUUAUGAAGCCCUCUAUUCAAUGCCACAUGAAGAGAUGGAAGAUGGACAAGGCCUAACUUCCAUCGCCUCGAGUAUUUCAAACCUUUCAACUUGAAGUGGAUUAUGGGAAACAACUGGGAGAAGCCAGACUCAGAGCUGUGGAAGGAGCUUUGCUGUGAUCCUUUACCUUCUGACAACACAGGUUAUAGCUCGUAACGAAAAGCACUUAACAAAUAGAAUUCCAUGUACCACCACCUUUUGGCCUCAGUUGGACAGCUGAAGUAAAAUCAUUGUCUGCUACCACUGUAAAUGUUCCAACAACAUGCUAGAA